Molecule: ribosomal RNA, 494 nt
Filed under: uncultured bacterium
Lineage: Bacteria
Description: partial 16S ribosomal RNA
Rfam family: Bacterial small subunit ribosomal RNA
Source: RNAcentral
GACGAACGCUGGCGGCGUGCUUAACACAUGCAAGUCGAACGGUGAAGCGCCUUCCUUUUUGGUGGGUGUGGAUGAGUGGCGAACGGGUGAGUAACACGUGAGUAACCUGCCCCCUUCUUCUGGAUAACCGCAUGAAAGUGUGGCUAAUACGGGAUAUUCUGGGUCUGUCGCAUGAUGGGUCUGGGAAAGAUAUUGCUUCGGUGGGGGAUGGGCUCGCGGCCUAUCAGCUUGUUGGUGGGGUGAUGGCCUACCAAGGCGGUGACGGGUAGCCGGCCUGAGAGGGUGGACGGUCACACUGGGACUGAGACACGGCCCAGACUCCUACGGGAGGCAGCAGUGGGGAAUAUUGCACAAUGGGCGCAAGCCUGAUGCAGCGACGCCGCGUGAGGGAUGGAGGCCUUCGGGUUGUGAACCUCUUUCGCCAGUGAAGCAGGCCUGCCUCGUUUGUGGGUGGGUUGACGGUAGCUGGAUAAGAAGCGCCGGCUAACUACGUG